RNAcentral lists this ribosomal RNA (348 nucleotides) under uncultured bacterium. Its description in RNAcentral is "bacterial SSU rRNA". It matches the Rfam family "Bacterial small subunit ribosomal RNA", at positions 1 to 350 of the family's 1533-position model. The record is from RNAcentral.
UCAGGUUUGACCUGGCUCAGGAUGAACGCUAGCUACAGGCUUAACACAUGCAAGUCGAGGGGCAGCAUGUUGGUUGCUUGCAACCAAUGAUGGCGACCGGCGCACGGGUGAGUAACGCGUAUCCAACCUACCCUUGUCCAUCGGAUAACCCGUCGAAAGGCGGCCUAACACGAUAUGCGGUUCACAGCAGGCAUCUAAGGUGAACGAAAUGUGAAGGAGAAGGAUGGGGAUGCGUCUGAUUAGCUUGUUGGCGGGGUAACGGCCACCAAGGCGACGAUCAGUAGGGGUUCUGAGAGGAAGGUCCCCCACAUUGGAACUGAGACACGGUCCAAACUCCUACGGGAGGCA